This 156-nucleotide long non-coding RNA is filed under the name Pongo abelii (Sumatran orangutan). Its description in RNAcentral is "lincRNA". The record is from RNAcentral. Lineage: Eukaryota; Metazoa; Chordata; Mammalia; Primates; Hominidae.
GUUUGGCGGGGCCUUUGUCUCUCGCUGGUGCUGGUGCAGGAGCUUGGGAUGCAUCUCCUCUUUUGCCUCCUCCACCUUGGGAAAUCCGGACAACUCCCUCACAGCCCCUGUUGCCCUGUGAUCUGUAGGUCCUUGGGGACGCAUAGUUAAGGUGCU